GACGAACGCUGGCGGCGCGCCUAACACAUGCAAGUCGAACGAGAGAAGAAGAGCUUGCUCUUCUGAUCGAGUGGCGAACGGGUGAGUAACGCGUGAGGAACCUGCCUCAAAGAGGGGGACAACAGUUGGAAACGACUGCUAAUACCGCAUAAGCCCACGGGUCGGCAUCGACCAGAGGGAAAAGGAGCAACCCGCUUUGAGAUGGCCUCGCGUCCGAUUAGCUAGUUGGUGAGGUAAUGGCCCACCAAGGCGACGAUCGGUAGCCGGACUGAGAGGUUGAACGGCCACAUUGGGACUGAGACACGGCCCAGACUCCUACGGGAGGCAGCAGUGGGGAAUAUUGCACAAUGGGGGAAACCCUGAUGCAGCGACGCCGCGUGGAGGAAGAAGGUCUUCGGAUUGUAAACUCCUGUUGUUGAGGAAGAUAAUGACG
This 433-nucleotide ribosomal RNA is filed under the name uncultured bacterium. RNAcentral's name for it is "bacterial SSU rRNA". It matches the Rfam family "Bacterial small subunit ribosomal RNA", at positions 28 to 456 of the family's 1533-position model. The record is from RNAcentral.